UUGUAAAUUCCAAUCUCAUAAACAGGAAAAUGUAGUGUGCAUCUACAUCUCAUUCAAAGUACAAAUAUAACUCUGAUGAUAAAUUCCAUAGUAAAAAACUGAAUGUAUAACACUUGUGACCAACAAUUCGAUAGAAUAAUGGCAAACAAAAAGUGGAUUUAUUGUCAUCUUUUCUUUGUCCCCUUGUCAUCUUUGUCUGUCUACUUAGACUUUCCAGCCGUUUUCCUGUACAAACUCAAAUAAAUUAACAUGGUAUUGACAGAGGGUUUAACAUGUACUUCUGAAAAUGCAUAAACUUACUUGAAAGGUCUUUUGUUCUUAGCACACACUUCGUCAUUGUUCUCUUUUCUCUUUCUCC
Molecule: long non-coding RNA, 358 nt
Filed under: Triticum aestivum (bread wheat)
Lineage: Eukaryota; Viridiplantae; Streptophyta; Magnoliopsida; Poales; Poaceae
Description: long non-coding RNA (TAES_LNC021485)
Source: RNAcentral